Molecule: ribosomal RNA, 301 nt
Filed under: uncultured bacterium
Lineage: Bacteria
Description: partial 16S ribosomal RNA
Rfam family: Bacterial small subunit ribosomal RNA
Source: RNAcentral
CAGCAGCCACGGUAAUACGAAGGGGGCUAGCGUUGUUCGGAUUUACUGGGCGUAAAGGGCGCGUAGGCGGACUGAUAAGUCAGAGGUGAAAUCCCAAGGCUCAACCUUGGAACUGCCUUUGAUACUGUUUGUCUUGAGUUCGAGAGAGGUAAGUGGAACUGCGAGUGUAGAGGUGAAAUUCGUAGAUAUUCGCAAGAACACCAGUGGCGAAGGCGGCUUACUGGCUCGAAACUGACGCUGAGGCGCGAAAGCGUGGGGAGCAAACAGGAUUAGAGACCCCUGUAGUCCCUGUCUCUUAUAC